UACGUAGGGGGCAAGCGUUGUCCGGAUUUAUUGGGCGUAAAGAGCGUGUAGGCGGCCUGGAAGGUCAGCUGUGAAAACUCGAGGCUCAACCUCGAGACGUCGGUUGAAACCACCUGGCUAGAGUCCGGAAGAGGAGAGUGGAAUUCCCGGUGUAGCGGUGAAAUGCGCAGAUAUCGGGAAGAACACCGGUGGCGAAGGCGGUUCUCUGGGCCUGUACUGACGCUGAGGAGCGAAAGCGUGGGGAGCGAACAGG
RNAcentral lists this ribosomal RNA (253 nucleotides) under uncultured bacterium. Its description in RNAcentral is "partial 16S ribosomal RNA". It matches the Rfam family "Bacterial small subunit ribosomal RNA", at positions 524 to 776 of the family's 1533-position model. The record is from RNAcentral.